CGGGCAGCAUCCUCAACCACUUAAGCCUGCAUCUAGUCCCCAAAGCAGUAUUGCCCACUCCUGUCGGGGAUAGCCUGAGGUGUGUGUCCCCCUCCAGUGGAUAUACAGCCUGUUGGACAACAUUAUUGAUAAUCGAUUCCAUUAGCUAUAGAACCUCGAAAGAUAUACUUGUAAACCUGUAUUACAAAUAAGCUUCUCAGCUUGUUCCACUAGGCAUGGUAAUAUUUAACGAGGGGCAAACAUUCUUGCCACAGAUAACCCUGCAUGAAUGGGUAGACCGAUACUGUUGUGGCACUUGACAACUCAUUACUACCCGUUUAAGCCUGUUGCUCCUCUGCAAAAUAUGCAAUUAUUCAUAUCAAUGCC
This is a non-coding RNA of Pelobates cultripes (western spadefoot toad), 366 nucleotides long. The record is from the annotation of a GenBank genome assembly. NCBI's taxonomy places the organism in Eukaryota, Metazoa, Chordata, Amphibia, Anura, Pelobatidae.